GUGCCAGCCGCCGCGGUAAUACCGGCAGCCCAAGUGAUGACCGAUCUUAUUGGGCCUAAAGCGUCCGUAGCUGGCUGCGCAAGUCCGUCGGGAAAUCCACCCGCCCAACGGGUGGGCAUCCGGUGGAAACUGCGUGGCUUGGGACCGGAAGGUUCGACGGGUACGUCCGGGGUAGGAGUGAAAUCCCGUAAUCCUGGACGGACCGCCGAUGGCGAAAGCACGUCGCGAAGACGGAUCCGACAGUGAGGGACGAAAGCUAGGGUCUCGAACCGGAUUAGAAACCCUAGUAGUCC
Molecule: ribosomal RNA, 293 nt
Filed under: uncultured bacterium
Lineage: Bacteria
Description: partial 16S ribosomal RNA
Rfam family: Archaeal small subunit ribosomal RNA
Source: RNAcentral